UAGGGUAUAGCUCAGCAGUAGAGUGUGUGCUUAGUAAGCAUGGCGUCCUGGGUUCAAUCCCCAGUGACUUCA
Molecule: transfer RNA, 72 nt
Filed under: Camelus bactrianus (Bactrian camel)
Lineage: Eukaryota; Metazoa; Chordata; Mammalia; Artiodactyla; Camelidae
Also listed under: 1 other name
Rfam family: tRNA
About the family: Transfer RNA (tRNA) molecules are approximately 80 nucleotides in length. Their secondary structure includes four short double-helical elements and three loops (D, anti-codon, and T loops).
Source: Rfam by way of RNAcentral